UAGUUUUCUAAGAAAAUUGAAAAAUAAAGUUUUAUGUUCACGUGUCAAUUUUCCAAAUAGAGAAAUGGAAAACUAAUUUUCAAGUUUCCUAAAAUUUAACGAAGAUUUAGAAACAGUUUUAUAUUGUUUUCCAUUUUUUUGUUUUAUAAUAAAAGUUCUAGUUUCCAAUUGUUUUUCAAAUGGAAAACAAUAUCUUUUCUAUAACUAAAAUCAUACUAUGACAUUUCCG
RNAcentral lists this unclassified non-coding RNA (229 nucleotides) under Hevea brasiliensis (rubber tree). The record is from RNAcentral. Lineage: Eukaryota; Viridiplantae; Streptophyta; Magnoliopsida; Malpighiales; Euphorbiaceae.